RNAcentral lists this ribosomal RNA (496 nucleotides) under uncultured bacterium. Its description in RNAcentral is "partial 16S ribosomal RNA". It matches the Rfam family "Bacterial small subunit ribosomal RNA", at positions 28 to 506 of the family's 1533-position model. The record is from RNAcentral.
GAUGAACGCUGGCGGCGUGCCUAAUACAUGCAAGUCGAGCGAACAGACGAGGAGCUUGCUCCUCUGACGUUAGCGGCGGACGGGUGAGUAACACGUGGAUAACCUACCUAUAAGACUGGGAUAACUUCGGGAAACCGGAGCUAAUACCGGAUAAUAUAUUGAACCGCAUGGUUCAAUAGUGAAAGACGGUUUUGCUGUCACUUAUAGAUGGAUCCGCGCUGCAUUAGCUAGUUGGUAAGGUAACGGCUUACCAAGGCAACGAUGCGUAGCCGACCUGAGAGGGUGAUCGGCCACACUGGAACUGAGACACGGUCCAGACUCCUACGGGAGGCAGCAGUAGGGAAUCUUCCGCAAUGGGCGAAAGCCUGACGGAGCAACGCCGCGUGAGUGAUGAAGGUCUUCGGAUCGUAAAACUCUGUUAUUAGGGAAGAACAAAUGUGUAAGUAACUAUGCACGUCUUGACGGUACCUAAUCAGAAAGCCACGGCUAACUACGU